GUCUAUGGCCAUACUACCCUAAAUGCACCAGAUCUUGUCUGAUCUCGGAAGCUAAGUAGGGUCAAGCCUGGGUAGUACUUGGAUGGGAGACCUCCUGGGAAUACUGGGUACUGUAGGCA
Peromyscus maniculatus bairdii (prairie deer mouse) is the source of this 119-nucleotide ribosomal RNA. The record is from Ensembl. NCBI's taxonomy places the organism in Eukaryota, Metazoa, Chordata, Mammalia, Rodentia, Cricetidae.